AUUGAACGCUGGCGGCAUGCUUUACACAUGCAAGUCGGACGGCAGCACAGAGGAGCUUGCUUCUUGGGUGGCGAGUGGCGCACGGGUGAGUAACGCAUCGGAACGUACCGAGUAAUGGGGGAUAACUGUCCGAAAGGACAGCUAAUACCGCAUACGCCCUGAGGGGGAAAGCGGGGGAUCUUAGGACCUCGCGUUAUUCGAGCGGCCGAUGUCUGAUUAGCUGGUUGGCGGGGUAAAGGCCCACCAAGGCGACGAUCAGUAGCGGGUCUGAGAGGAUGAUCCGCCACACUGGGACUGAGACACGGCCCAGACUCCUACGGGAGGCAGCAGUGGGGAAUGUUGGACAAUGGGCGCAAGCCUGAUCCAGCCAUGCCGCGUGUCUGAAGAAGGCCUUCGGGUUGUAAAGGACUUUUGUCAGGGAAGAAAAGGGGCAUGUUAAUACCGUGCUCUGAUGACGGUACCUGAAGAAUAAGCACCGGCUAACUACGUG
This 490-nucleotide ribosomal RNA is filed under the name uncultured bacterium. RNAcentral's name for it is "partial 16S ribosomal RNA". It matches the Rfam family "Bacterial small subunit ribosomal RNA", at positions 30 to 507 of the family's 1533-position model. The record is from RNAcentral.